RNAcentral lists this unclassified non-coding RNA (239 nucleotides) under Hevea brasiliensis (rubber tree). The record is from RNAcentral. Lineage: Eukaryota; Viridiplantae; Streptophyta; Magnoliopsida; Malpighiales; Euphorbiaceae.
CAUGAAAGUUCUUUGGCUACACACAUCUCCUGUACCUCACUUCCUUUUAUCAUUUUCCCUGCCUCUUUAUGUAUAAUAAAAGAGGAGAAAAGGAAGAUUCUCAAGGCUAACACAAGCAGUUCCCAAACAAUAGCCUAUCUUGAUUGAAUUCCAAUUGAACAAGAGUGUGUAGUGGAAAACCUUAACUUAUAGUCUAUUCAAUUAAUGACUUCAAUAGAGUUUGUUAAGCAACAGAAAUG